AUUGAACGCUGGCGGCAGGCUUAACACAUGCAAGUCGAGCGGGGGAAGGUAGCUUGCUACCGGACCUAGCGGCGGACGGGUGAGUAAUGCUUAGGAAUCUGCCUAUUAGUGGGGGACAACAUCCCGAAAGGGAUGCUAAUACCGCAUACGUCCUACGGGAGAAAGCAGGGGAUCUUCGGACCUUGCGCUAAUAGAUGAGCCUAAGUCGGAUUAGCUAGUUGGUGGGGUAAAGGCCUACCAAGGCGACGAUCUGUAGCGGGUCUGAGAGGAUGAUCCGCAACACUGGGACUGAGACACGGCCCAGACUCCUACGGGAGGCAGCAGUGGGGAAUAUUGGACAAUGGGGGGAACCCUGAUCCAGCCAUGCCGCGUGUGUGAAGAAGGCCUUAUGGUUGUAAAGCACUUUAAGCGAGGAGGAGGCUACUUUAGUUAAUACCUAGAGAUAGUGGACGUUACUCGCAGAAUAAGCACCGGCUAACUCUGUGCCAGCAGCCGCAGUAA
This 501-nucleotide ribosomal RNA is filed under the name uncultured bacterium. RNAcentral's name for it is "partial 16S ribosomal RNA". It matches the Rfam family "Bacterial small subunit ribosomal RNA", at positions 30 to 523 of the family's 1533-position model. The record is from RNAcentral.